Centropristis striata (black sea bass) is the source of this 1777-nucleotide long non-coding RNA. RefSeq lists it as uncharacterized. NCBI's taxonomy places the organism in Eukaryota, Metazoa, Chordata, Actinopteri, Perciformes, Serranidae. The transcript has 3 exons. The record is from RefSeq and is a predicted model, not a curated record.
UGGUGAUCAUGGAGGAUGUGGAUUAUCUUCUACAGCACUAAUGUUAAAGUCUGUCUUUUGGAGAACAACUUCAACACCUCGGUGCCCACCAGCUGCGAGAUAAAGUUAUAAACCAAACCCCUGGUAAAAAUAAGCACAUUUAACGUGAAGUCGUCCUUCGUGGAAAAAUAGCUUGUUGGAGAAGAGGUUUUUUCUUUUGCGUUUCUUGUGUCUUUUUCGGUGGUAUGGAUGUUGCCUGGUCAAGGACACACUUUCAGGACCUCCAGCAUCUUUCUAAAAGGAAUACCAAACAAGAUGAGGAAUUGGGGAGUUGAGCAGUAUAACAACAAACUGAGGAGAACAGGAGCUUUAUUUUCAACGCGUCUGCGGCUCUACUUCUUGAUCCUCUCCUGCUGGACUGACUGGACGCUACAGUGACUCACUUUCGCCUCUUGAGGCAUGUUUCCAGAGAGUCAAUCCAGGGCCUGAAAAGCGGCUAUCCGUGGAAAAGGUCACACAUUCCCAACCGCUCCCAGUGGGAAAACAGGAGAGUCCACACCUUCUCAGGAACGCAGAGGCCUACUACCCUGAAAUCUGACAACAAUUACCACAUGAAUUUCGGCAUAUUAUAAUGCCAAACACUUUUUUCUGCAGACCUCGACUCAGCAGUGUUCAGCCAGUCUGGGGAUCAUCAGGCUAUUUUGUAGUUUUAACUGCCCAUUUAAAGUAUUUAGGCUUCGACUAAAUCUGUUGGAGGACUCAAACUUCACAUUACAUUUGCUUAAAAUUCCAAUUCACAGGCUCAAAGCUCUGUAAAUCACAAACUCUACACGUCUAUGUCAUGAACCACUGAGCCUCUAUCAACAUUGCAUCUCGGGUUCCAAUGUGCCUCACGAACAUAAAGAUUUAAUCAAAAUGUGACAGCCACGGUUUAACAGCAGCGCAUUGAGAGCAGAGACGACCUACUCGCUGCCUCUGUAUCCGUGCCAGAGUGCUCUUGAAGGUUUAAGAAUGCUGGUGAUUGCGGUAAUUGCUGUGCAGCAGAGGUUUGAUACAACUCGUACAGAGAAAUAAAAAAAAACUUUCAAACUCAUAUGUUUCUAUAGGAACCUCUCUAACAUUGUAAAGAUGUGGUCUUGGUUUAGUGACAGCCUAUACACUUAGUUUUUAUGGUACAAGCGUGACUGAAACGGUAUGUGUUAAAUUGGAUUGUUAUGUAGCUCAUGUUCCUUUGGAAUAUACUUUAUAAGCCAUACAUACAGGGGUGGACGAAAUAAUAGAAACAUGUUAAGAUAAAUUACUUAAUCACUAACAUUGUUACAGACGUGGAUUCCAUUAAAGCAACAAUUUGUUGAAUUUGUAUAUUAUUGCAGUUCUGACACAACACUGAUUUUGAGACUGUUAUUUUUAGGUUAAAGGUUGCAUAAUGUUGUUUUAUGUUGCCAAUACACUGAACUGUAUAGAUCAAUGUACGAUAAAUGCCAAACAUACUGUACGCCUGUUGAUCAGCCUCCAUCCUUCCCACAUGUUAUCCUGCUUUGUGAGAUUGUUCUUGUUACAUAUUUAUUUUUCUGCACCUGCACUUUAGGCACAGAUGACUUGGCCUACUUGCAGCUCUGUUAAUUGUCUCCUUUUGCGUCAAAAAACUUUGAAAACUCAUAUCAAAGAGCUGAUUGCCAGAUUGUUUUUAUAGCCGACAGAUGCUGAUGGCUGGUCUUCAACCUUAAACGACCGAUUUGUGAAGCAAUGUUUGUAAAUGUGAUGAAAGUACCGCCGGAAUAAAGUUAUUUUCCAUGUU